GAAAACAGAUUGGGCAGGCUAUUGUACCACACUUUAUUACCUAGUGAAAUGUAAUUUGAUCCAUUUGCAGGAGGAAGAACCAAGAUGCUUGUUUCAGAAUUCAAUUGCUCCAGAAAGAUGAAACCUAAGAAGAGAAAUGUAUCUUUGAGAUCCUACCGUGAUUUUGGGAAAGAGCAUUUGGGGCUUCAGACACAUUAGACCCAACUUUCCACACAGCUCUUUCAUUGCUGCUGCCACAAUCCAUGUGAAGGCAAAGUCCAUUGGUGCAGAAUCCAUGGACCAGGACAGCAGAUGGAAGCAGCUGGGAGCAGUCCAAGCUGAACUGCUUUGGUUUGAAACCAAGAAAUUGCUUUUAGAGAACCAUCUAAGUGACUUCUUUGGCAAGAAAUCUGCGGUACUGCCAGUCCCAUGGCAUUCAGAAUUCAGUCCCAUGUAUUCAGAAUGCCCCUCCUCAUUUAUGGAUUUUUAAUACAAAGAAAUGUUGAGAUCCCUUAAUUAAAUGUCUUAAUGUGUUGGAGCCUUUGAACUUCUCAUUCUUGACCCCUUCUUUGAAACCAAGUAGCUAAAAACCCCUUCACUUUAAAAUAAAAUUAAAUUCA
Serinus canaria (Common canary) is the source of this 599-nucleotide long non-coding RNA. RefSeq lists it as uncharacterized. The transcript is spliced from 3 exons. The record is from RefSeq and is a predicted model, not a curated record. NCBI's taxonomy places the organism in Eukaryota, Metazoa, Chordata, Aves, Passeriformes, Fringillidae.